Molecule: ribosomal RNA, 468 nt
Filed under: uncultured bacterium
Lineage: Bacteria
Description: partial 16S ribosomal RNA
Rfam family: Bacterial small subunit ribosomal RNA
Source: RNAcentral
GACGAACGCUGGCGGCGUGCUUAACACAUGCAAGUCGAACGGAAAGGCCCUGCUUUUGUGGGGUGCUCGAGUGGCGAACGGGUGAGUAACACGUGAGUAACCUGCCCUUGACUUUGGGAUAACUUCAGGAAACUGGGGCUAAUACCGGAUAGGAGCUCCUGCUGCAUGGUGGGGGUUGGAAAGUUUCGGCGGUUGGGGAUGGACUCGCGGCUUAUCAGCUUGUUGGUGGGGUAGUGGCUUACCAAGCCUUUGACGGGUAGCCCGCCUGGGAGGGUAGCCGGCCACAUUGGGACUGCGAGACGGCCCAGACGCCAACGGGAGGCAGCAGGGGGGAAUAUUGCAGAAUGGGCGGAAGCCUGAUGCAGCAACGCCGCGUGCGGGAUGACGGCCUUCGGGUUGUAAACCGCUUUCGCCGGUGACGAAGCGUGAGUGACGGUAAUGGGUAAAGAAGCAACGGCUAACUACGUG